AGAGUUUGAUCCUGGCUCAGGAUAAACGCUGGCGGCGUGCCUUAUGCAUGCAAGUCGAACGAGGCUAGGGCUUCGGCCCGAAACCUAGUGGCGGACGGGUGAGUAACACGUACGUGACCUGUCCAGAAGUGGGGAAUAACCAGCCGAAAGGUUGGCUAAUACCGCAUGUGGUCACCCCUUGGAAGGGGAUGACCAAAGCCGAAAGGCGCUUCUGGAGGGGCGUGCGGCCGAUUAGCUAGUUGGUGUGGUAACGGCGCACCAAGGCGAUGAUCGGUAGCUGGUCUGAGAGGAUGGUCAGCCACACUGGGACUGAGACACGGCCCAAACUCCUACGGGAGGCAGCAGUGGGGAAUAUUGGACAAUGGGCGAAAGCCUGAUCCAGCCAUGCCGCGUGAGUGAUGAAGGCCCUAGGGUUGUAAAGCUCUUUUGUGCGGGAAGAUAAUGACGGUACCGCAAGAAUAAGCCCCGGCUAACUUCGUGCCAGCAGCCGCGGUAAUACGAAGGGGGCUAGCGUUGCUCGGAAUCACUGGGCGUAAAGGGUGCGUAGGCGGGUCUUUAAGUCAGAGGUGAAAUCCUGGAGCUCAACUCCAGAACUGCCUUUGAUACUGAGGAUCUUGAGUUCGGGAGAGGUGAGUGGAACUGCGAGUGUAGAGGUGAAAUUCGUAGAUAUUCGCAAGAACACCAGUGGCGAAGGCGGCUCACUGGCCCGAUACUGACGCUGAGGCACGAAAGCGUGGGGAGCAAACAGGAUUAGAUACCCUGGUAGUCC
RNAcentral lists this ribosomal RNA (769 nucleotides) under uncultured bacterium. RNAcentral describes it as "bacterial SSU rRNA". It matches the Rfam family "Bacterial small subunit ribosomal RNA", at positions 8 to 796 of the family's 1533-position model. The record is from RNAcentral.